ACGAACGCUGCGGCGUGGAUAAGACAUGCAAGUCGAACGAGAAUUCAUUUGUAGCAAUACCGAUGAAUUCUAGUGGCGAACGGGUGCGUAACACGUGAGCAAUCUGCCGGGAAGUGGGGGAUAGCUCGCCGAAAGGCGAAUUAAUACCGCAUACGGCCAAGGAGGACAUCCUCCUGAAGCCAAAGUCGCAAGACGCUUCCUGAUGAGCUCGCGGCCUAUCAGCUAGUUGGUGAGGUAACGGCUCACCAAGGCAAUGACGGGUAGCUGGUCUGAGAGGACGACCAGCCACACUGGAACUGAGACACGGUCCAGACACCUACGGGUGGCAGCAGUCGAGAAUUUUUCACAAUGGGGGAAACCCUGAUGGAGCGACGCCGCGUGGAGGAUGAAGGUUUUCGGAUUGUAAACUCCUGUCAAAUGGGAACAAGAAAGUGAUA
Molecule: ribosomal RNA, 437 nt
Filed under: uncultured Verrucomicrobiota bacterium
Lineage: Bacteria; Pseudomonadati; Verrucomicrobiota
Description: bacterial SSU rRNA
Rfam family: Bacterial small subunit ribosomal RNA
Source: RNAcentral